Brassica napus (rape) is the source of this 1859-nucleotide long non-coding RNA. RefSeq lists it as uncharacterized. The record is from RefSeq and is a predicted model, not a curated record. The transcript is spliced from 2 exons. NCBI's taxonomy places the organism in Eukaryota, Viridiplantae, Streptophyta, Magnoliopsida, Brassicales, Brassicaceae.
AUUACAUUGAUAGCCAUGCUAUCUAAGCCAGCACUGGGUUUAGUCGGCUUUACAACAACAAAGCCUCCAUGUUUCUUUCCUUUUUUCACAUCCCGCUACUUUUUCUUCUUGCCCUGAAGCAACAACAUAACAUUCGACACAUUAUUAUCCAAUUUAGCAAAUGUCAAUUACAGUGAUCUAAUUAUAUAAAAGAAGGUUAGAGAGACACCUAAGAUGCCAAGUCAGAAAUUCGAAUGCUAUUGUUACCACACGUGUUUUGCUGCACUUCAUUAAUUCGAGAAUUUGAUGGGCUUUUACGUGAAAAUAUGUGGGCUUGAAUUUAACGUUAUUUGGUCUCACAAAAAAAAGGUUAGUCGAUCUAGGUUAGGGUCUUUACGUGUCCUAACAGUUCAUCAUCUUCAUCGGCCGCCAUGACGAUCAAAGUUCAGAACACGCCUCUUACCAGACGAAAGCGUAACGUCUACGCUUUCAUUCAAUUUGUGGCAUUUACGUUCUCAUUGACUCCAUCAAACCACGACUCCACUAACUCAGCAUUCAAAAAGAUCAUCGUCUUCCUCAGUUUAUGAGGGAAAUGGUUGCUUGCCGAUUGUUCAAGCGUUGGACAAGUGAUUUUGUAUUCCUCAGUUUCUAACUUUUAAGCAUAGAGAAACUUUUAGGACUGACGGGUUAUUGUUCGGAUCCGAGACGAGUGAUUGGAUCUGAGUGAUUGGAUCUCGAUAGACGAAGAUUUACAGCCCGGAUCCUAUAACGCUGCUGCAGUGAAACGAUUCAAGGCUUAGUUAAGACGCAAAGAGAUCUCUGUAUAUGGUAUGAAAAUCAGGAAUCGAUUCAAGUGAUGCGGAUAAGAAUAACCAUAGCUGCUUCUUAAAAGAAGGACAUGUCAUUUCAACAAUGGUUCAAGGGUCCGGUGUGCCUGUUAAAAUUUCUCCAACACUGUUCCGUCUCCUUUCUUUCGACAUCUCCAUUGACGGUUCCGACUAUGUGCUUUCUCUUCUUACGAUAGAUUCUCAGGUACGGGUCACAUAUUGCUUUGGAUAUGGUGACUCAUGUUUUAUCUCCCUACUGAAGAAGUUUCAUUCUCGCUCUCUGUGUAAGUUAUGCAGUUGUGCAGCCCGACUUUUGAAAAAUGUGGAAUUCGUUUUGUCUUCUUCCUAAGCAUGACUGUAUGUUGUAUGGAGUGCACUACCCUCCAAAACUUCACUUGGACGUUCACAUGGCAGACAUAAUAAGCACUGGUGUAAGUGUCUCACCCUUCCACCACGUCGUUAUAAACUCGACUUCGAAGUCCUGUGUUCACAAAAGAAGUCUCAUUUGGGUCUUCAGUCGCUUUUUAACAAGUGCUCGAGGGUGUAUGAUGAGAUGUUAGUACCUAGGCUUGCAGUUUGUUUAGUUUUUUCGGAUUCUUUUAGCCAUUGCAAGGUUUGAGAUUGAGAUUAGUUUUAAUUAGAUAAGAGUUUGUACAAUGCAGCUGGGAAAUACAGAGUAUCCAUUGCAUAUUACAGAAGCAUAUGUUGAUUUCGAGACUGAAUCAUUAUUGCACGAAGCCAUCAAUGUUGCUGCAAAACAUUAUGUUCUUGAGUGAAUUUUUAUGAGACAAGUGAGUCAUUUUCUGUUCCUCUUUGGCUGGAUUCUCAUACCUCCUAAUGGAGUGAGGGUUGCUAUGGAAAUGCAAGCUGAAGCUAAAGUAAAAAUGGAGGCCAUAAGGUAAAAUUGCAUUGCUUAACUUUGAAAAUUUUAUGUUUUCUGAUUAAACAAUUUGCCUGGUGCAGCUCAAGAAUAUAGAACAAAACCUGCUUAUUAUGUGUAUCAAAAUCUGUUUAACUAACUUGAAUAAGGAAGCCCAAGCGCAUUUCAACAUA